This 71-nucleotide transfer RNA is filed under the name Marmota marmota marmota (Alpine marmot). It matches the Rfam family "tRNA". Rfam says of the family: Transfer RNA (tRNA) molecules are approximately 80 nucleotides in length. Their secondary structure includes four short double-helical elements and three loops (D, anti-codon, and T loops). Further hydrogen bonds mediate the characteristic L-shaped molecular structure. tRNAs have two regions of fundamental functional importance: the anti-codon, which is responsible for specific mRNA codon recognition, and the 3' end, to which the tRNAs corresponding amino acid is attached (by aminoacyl-tRNA synthetases). tRNAs cope with the degeneracy of the genetic code in two manners: having more than one tRNA (with a specific anti-codon) for a particular amino acid; and 'wobble' base-pairing, i.e. permitting non-standard base-pairing at the 3rd anti-codon position. RNAcentral also lists the same sequence under 1 other name. The record is from Rfam by way of RNAcentral. Lineage: Eukaryota; Metazoa; Chordata; Mammalia; Rodentia; Sciuridae.
GGGGAUGUAGCUCAGCUAGUAGCGUGCUUGCCUCAUGCACAAGACCCUGGGUUCAAUCCCCAGCACCGCCA